AGAGGAAAAAAAAAAAAGCCAUGGUCUCAAAAUUGAAGUAUCUCAUGGCACUUUUACUUGUUUAUGCUAUCUCAAUGAAUUUGGCAGGUUUUUAUGAUUGUUAGCAGGUGAUGCUUUGAAUUCCUCAAUGUUUUGACUUUGGCAAUUAUAGAUUCUUCUUUUGUGUAUUUGACCUUAUUAUUGUUAUAUUUAAAAUUGGAUGUGUAGUUAUAUGCUUAUCAAGUACAAACAGUUUGAGCCUUUUGUUGUUGUUCUAUUAAUUUCACUAGCAGCUGUGUACAUUAAUGUUGUAAUAUACCAUUGUUAAAAUCAUAAUUGACCCUUUAUUCUGGUUUAUGGAAGUCAAUAUGUUCAGCUUCCUGCUCCAUGUACUGAAUUAACUUGGAUGUCACCAUAUAAAAGUUCAUGUGUAAUUUGACAGUCAAAGAAACUUGUGAAAUCCCAUCAGAAUGACUGUACAACUUUAAGAUUAUGCUUGUUAAUUUUCAUCUCUGCAGUGUGUUUACUAAUUUACUUCUGUUUGUUUUUGCAGUUUGUGAUCCAAAGAGUCUGCUU
This 555-nucleotide unclassified non-coding RNA is filed under the name Hevea brasiliensis (rubber tree). Lineage: Eukaryota; Viridiplantae; Streptophyta; Magnoliopsida; Malpighiales; Euphorbiaceae. The record is from RNAcentral.